CCUGGGCCUGUUUAGGCUAGUUUAUUGUGUCUGUUCUCUAAACAGUAUGCAUCGGAGGCAAGCUCUGAAGUCCCAAACAACUGAAAAUAUAUUCUCUGAACACCUGCAUCCCUUCUGUCAACAGAAACCAAAUUUAUCCUUUUAUACCUGACUACACUGUGUUGUCAUAAGAUUAUAACUACAGUAUCUAACUAACUGGAAUCAUCUGGUAACUGAAUGUCUGAAGUAUAAAUACCAUUUUAUUAAUGAAUAUAUUUCCAUUUAACUCAACCUUAACAGAUACAGUUGUGUGUAGGGUGUAAUGUUUGAAUGUUUUUGUUGACAGUGUCAGAAACUACAUCUGUCUAUGACCAAUGAACAGAACUUGAAUCCCUUAUCAUAAACAGCAGUGAACACUGCGGCAACAUCAUGCUUUAAUAUCUGCAUUCAAGAUGUCAUGAACUGGACAUGCCCUCUUGAUUCCAGCACUAAUAUUGUCAUGACCAAAUGUCAAAGUUCAUAUUCAGCAAGUUGAAGAUAACUGACACCAUCUUUAAGUAUAAGUUUCACAAAUAUGGUAUACAGAUGUUUUUGUUUUCACGACUGAUAUAUAUAUAGUUUUGAAAAAACA
RNAcentral lists this long non-coding RNA (610 nucleotides) under Haliotis rufescens (red abalone). Its description in RNAcentral is "uncharacterized LOC124122684, transcript variant X1". The record is from RNAcentral. Lineage: Eukaryota; Metazoa; Mollusca; Gastropoda; Lepetellida; Haliotidae.